UCAGCAUUUCACUGUGAGGUCUACUACACCUGUUGUAUUCAGCAUUUCACUGUGAGGUCUACUACACAUGUUGUAUUCAGCAUUUCACUGUGAGGUCUACUACACCUGUUGUAUUCAGCAUUUCACUGUGAGGUCUACUACACCUGUUGUAUUCAGCAUUUCACUGCAAGGUCUACUACACCUGUUGUAUUCAGCAUUUCACUGUGAGGUCUACUACACCUGUUGUAUUCAGCAUUUCACUGCAAGGUCUACUACACCUGUUGUAUUCAGCAUUUCACUGCGAGGUCUACUACACCUGUUGUAUUCAGCAUUUCACUGUGAGGUCUACUACACCUGUUGUAUUCAGCAUUUCACUGUGAGGUCUACUACACCUGUUGUAUUCAGCAUUUCACUGUAAGGUCUACUACACCUGUUGUAUUCAGCAUUUCACUGUAAGGUCUACUACACCUGUUGUAUUCAGCAUUUCACUGUGAGGUCUACUACACCUUUUGUAUUCAGCAUUUCACUGUAAGGUCUACUACACCUGUUGUAUUCAGCAUUUCACUGUGAGGUCUACUACACCUUUUGUAUUCAGCAUUUCACUGUAAGGUCUACUACACCUGUUGUAUUCAGCAUUUCACUGUAAGGUCUACUACACCUGUUGUAUUCAGCAUUUCACUGUAAAGUCUACUAGACCUGUUGUAUUCAGCAUUUCACUGUAAGGUCUACUACACCUGUUGUAUUCAGCAUUUCACUGCAAGGUCUACUACACCUGUUGUAUUCAGCAUUUCACUGUGAGGUCUACUACACCUGUUGUAUUCAGCAUUUCACUGCAAGGUCUACUACACCUGUUGUAUUCAGCAUUUCACUGUGAGGUCUACUACACCUGUUGUAUUCAGCAUUUCACUGCAAGGUCUACUACACCUGUUGUAUUCAGCAUUUCACUGUAAGGUCUACUACACCUGUUGUAUUCAGCAUUUCACUGUAAGGUCUACUACACCUGUUGUAUUCAGCAUUUCACUGUAAGGUCUACCACACCUGUUGUAUUCAGCAUUUCACUGUAAGGUCUACUACACCUGUUGUAUUCAGCAUUUCACUGUAAGGUCUACUACACCUGUUGUAUUCAGCAUUUCACUGUGAGGUCUACUACACCUGUUGUAUUCAGCAUUUCACUGUAAGGUCUACUACACCUGUUGUAUUCAGCAUUUCACUGUAAGGUCUACUACACCUGUUGUAUUCAGCAUUUCACUGUGAGGUCUACUACACCUGUUGUAUUCAGCAUUUCACUGUAAGGUCUACUACACCUGUUGUAUUCAGCAUUUCACUGUGAGGUCUACUACACCUGUUGUAUUCAGCAUUUCACUGUGAGGUCUACAACACCUGUUGUAUUCAGCAUUUCACUGUGAGGUCUACUACACCUGUUGUAUUCAGCAUUUCACUGUAAGGUCUACUACACCUGUUGUAUUCAGCAUUUCACUGUGAGGUCUACUACACCUGUUGUAUUCAGCAUUUCACUGUGAGGUCUACUACACCUGUUGUAUUCAGCAUUUCACUGUGAGGUCUACUACACCUGUUGUAUUCAGCAUUUCACUUUAAGGUCUACUACACCUGUUGUAUUCAGCAUUUCACUGUAAGGUCUACUACACCUGUUGUAUUCAGCAUUUCACUGUAAGGUCUACUACACCUGUUGUAUUCAACAUUUCACUGUGAGGUCUACUACACCUGUUGUAUUCAGCAUUUCACUGUGAGGUCUACUACACCUGUUGUAUUCAGCAUUUCACUGUGAGGUCUACUACACCUGUUGUAUUCAGCAUUUCACUGUGAGGUCUACUACACCUGUUGUAUUCAGCAUUUCACUGUGAGGUCUACUACACCUGUUGUAUUCAGCAUUUCACUGUAAGGUCUACUACACCUGUUGUAUUCAGCAUUUCACUGUAAGGUCUACUACACCUGUUGUAUUCAGCAUUUCACUGUAAGGUCUACUACACCUGUUGUAUUCAGCAUUUCACUGUAAGGUCUACUACACCUGUUGUAUUCAGCAUUUCACUGUAAGGUCUACUACACCUGUUGUAUUCAGCAUUUCACUGUGAGGUCUACUACACCUGUUGUAUUCAGCAUUUCACUGUAAGGUCUACUACACCUGUUGUAUUCAGCAUUUCACUGUAAGGUCUACUACACCUGUUGUAUUCAGCAUUUCACUGUAAGGUCUACUACACCUGUUGUAUUCAACAUUUCACUGUAAGGUCUACUACACCUGUUGUAUUCAGCAUUUCACUGUAAGGUCUACUACACCUGUUGUAUUCAACAUUUCACUGUAAGGUCUACUACACCUGUUGU
Oncorhynchus keta (chum salmon) is the source of this 2316-nucleotide long non-coding RNA. RefSeq lists it as uncharacterized. The transcript is spliced from 6 exons. The record is from RefSeq and is a predicted model, not a curated record. NCBI's taxonomy places the organism in Eukaryota, Metazoa, Chordata, Actinopteri, Salmoniformes, Salmonidae.